This is a regulatory RNA element of Faecalibacterium sp. CAG:1138, 94 nucleotides long. It matches the Rfam family "THF (Tetrahydrofolate) riboswitch aptamer". From Rfam's summary of the family: THF riboswitch presents a pseudoknot that joins P1-P2 and the loop of P3 and two THF binding. NCBI's taxonomy places the organism in Bacteria, Bacillati, Bacillota, Clostridia, Eubacteriales, Oscillospiraceae. The record is from Rfam.
AGCAGAGUAGGCAAGUCGCGUUAAGUGUUGCGGAAUGGAAUGUUGUCCGCAAACGAAAGGGGAUUCUCUGCGGUGGCUUGCCGCAUUCGUUGCU